RNAcentral lists this ribosomal RNA (402 nucleotides) under bacterium. RNAcentral describes it as "partial 16S ribosomal RNA". It matches the Rfam family "Bacterial small subunit ribosomal RNA", at positions 355 to 776 of the family's 1533-position model. The record is from RNAcentral.
UGGGGAAUUUUGCACAAUGGGGGAAACCCUGAUGCAGCGACGCCGCGUGAUUUAGAAGGCCUUCGGGUUGUAAAAAUCGUUUCUAUGGGAAGAAAAUGACAGUACCAUAGGAAUAAGGACCGGCUAAUUACGUGCCAGCAGCCGCGGUAAUACGUAAGGUCCGAGCGUUGUCCGGAAUCAUUGGGCGUAAAGGGUACGUAGGCGGGUAAGCAAGUUAGAAGUGAAAUCCUAUAGCUCAACUAUAGUAAGCUUUUAAAACUGCUCAUCUUGAGGUAUGGAAGGGAAAGUGGAAUUCCUAGUGUAGCGGUGAAAUGCGCAGAUAUUAGGAGGAAUACCGGUGGCGAAGGCGACUUUCUGGCCAUAACCUGACGCUGAGGUACGAAAGCGUGGGUAGCAAACAGG